RNAcentral lists this long non-coding RNA (2016 nucleotides) under Marmota monax (woodchuck). The record is from RNAcentral. Lineage: Eukaryota; Metazoa; Chordata; Mammalia; Rodentia; Sciuridae.
GAAAAAUAGAAUAGUAUAAUGGAUCAUGUAAACAUAAAUUUAACAAGUGUUAAAUAUUUAAUCAUUAUCAUUUCAAAGAAAUAUUUAUUAAGGGAAGUUUCAAGAACAAAGUAGAAAAAAAUAAUAAAAUGCAGCCCUGUGUACACACACACAUCAGCUUCAAUAAUUACCAACUCUUACCAAUCUUAUCUACAUUCCCACUAUUUCCUUUGUUAUCAGAUUAUUUUGAGGCCUAUUCUCAUGUCAUCAUUUUAUCUGUAAAUAUAAAAUAUAUCUCAAAAGAGAAAUCACUUAGAAAAAACUCACAAUACCAUCAUCAACAUCAUCACAUCUAAAAAUGGUUUCUUAACAUCAUAAAAUAUUCUGUCAGCAUUUACUUCGUACUUGCUUCCUAGAGGCAUUAUCUGUUUGAAUUCGAUUCAAAUAAUUGAAAUUACAUUUAUUGCAAACUUGGAAUGCCCCUUAAGAAUUUUUCUGUGUUUAAUCAUUUCUUUACUAUACAUAUUUUAUCAUUAUUUUUGUUGUUGUUGUUGCUAUUAUUAUUAUUAUUAUUAUUAUUAUUUUGGUACUGGUCAUUGAACUUAGGUUCAACCACCAAGCCAUAUCCUCCGACCUAUUUUGCAUUUUAGGAUCUCACUAUUUUGUAAUAGCAAAAAUGUGUUGCUUUCACACUUUUGCUAUUACAAUCAAUUCUGCUAUGAGUUGCUUAGUGCCUCGUCUUUGCCAGGGGCUGGCUUUGAAUUUGUAAUCCUCCUGCCUAAGCUUCUGGAGCUGCCAGGAUUACCCAGAGAGUACUACCACUUCUGGCUGAUUCAUUUAAAAUUGUAAUUUUCGUCAAACACCUGUAACAUGAACUUUGCCAUAUUAACCAUUUUAAGUGUACAUUUCUGUAAUAUUAAGUUCAUUUGCAUUGUUAUGCAAUCAUCAUCAACAUCCAUCUCAAGAGCUCUUUUCAACUUGCAAAAUUGAAACUGUACUCAUUAAACAGUAACUCCUCAUUUCCUACUUCCUCUUAACCCCUGGUACCCACCCUACCAGUCUGCUUUCUGUCUCUAUGAGACUACUUCUCAAUACUGUAUGUAAGUGGAAUCAUAUAAUAUUUGCCUUUUUGUGACUGCAUUAUUUUAUGUAGCAUUAAUAUCCUCAGAAUUCAUUUACGUUAUAGCAUAUGUUAGAAUUUCCUUCUUUUUUAAGAUUGAAUGAUACUUCAAUAUUUGUGAGACUUUUUAAUCUAUCCAUUAAGUUGCUUCCACAUUUUUGCUAUUCCAAUCAAUUCUGCUAUGAGCACAGGUGUACACAUAUGUCUUUGAGACUCUGCUUUCAAUUCUGAGGAGCAUUUAAUCAGAAGUGAAAUUGCUGGAUCAUAUGGUAAUUCUAUUUAAAAAUGUUUGAGGAGUCACUAUAAUGUUUGACAUAGUAACUGCAACAUUUUACAUUCCCACCAACAGUUCACAAGAGUUCAACUUCUUCACAUCCUGACUUACACUAUGUAUUUUGUUUUUGGACAGUGGCCAUCCUAAUGGGUGUGAGGCAGUAUCUCACUUGGUUGACUUUUGUUUAUACAAAUAAGAAUCUUUUUCUGUGCUUAUUGGCCAUUUGUAUAUCUUCUUUGGAAAAGUGUCUAUUUGAGUUCAUUUCAUUUUAUUCAUGUAUAUUUUUAAAUGCUGAGUGUUGCUUCAGUUUCUUAUAUACAUUGUGCAUAUUGACCCUUUACUAUAUAUAUGAUUUGCAAAUAUUUACUCCCAUUCUGUGAAUAAAACAAAAAUACAUAGACUCCAUAUUGACUCUAUUGGUUAUGCACUUUGAUACAUAGAAGUUUAAAAAAAUUAUUGGUGCAUAUAAUUAAACAUAUUAGAAGGAUUCAUUGUCACAUAUUACACAGUUGUACAAGGAAUUUUAAACUUUAAUGUGAUUCAAUUCAUCAAUUUUUCUUUUAUAAUAUGUGCUUUGAGUGUCUCUGUGGGAUAUUUUUAAUUUUUUAAAAAAUAAGAUCAUUAUAAUUAUACAUAGCAUUUG